Molecule: long non-coding RNA, 2994 nt
Organism: Manis pentadactyla (Chinese pangolin)
Lineage: Eukaryota; Metazoa; Chordata; Mammalia; Pholidota; Manidae
Exons: 4
Source: RefSeq, a predicted model, not a curated record
GCUGUCUCCAGGUAGGUGGUGUCGGAACUGAACUGUGGGGCAUCCAGUUGGUGUUGUAGAAUGGCUUGAUGUGGGGAAAACCAGCGCAUUUUAGGAGCAAUUUUCUGUGAGUAGAUGGACCUGGGGAGUUUUUCUUGACACAGCCCUAACACACCAGGUUUGUACCUGAUACCAGGAGCCAGAGUAGAAUUCAAUUCUGCUUCCAGCACAGCUGCUGACUGCCUGGCCCCAAAGCAGCAGUAUGAGUGUCCAAGAGGGGAUGAAUGAGCGCCGGGCCCGCUGGUCCAGACACCUGCAAGGAUGGAGCAGCUGGGGGGUGGGAGGCCCUCUGAGCGCAGGGAGGGCUCCGUGGCCUUGCUGCCGGUUGUCCACCAGCACGCCCCAGGUAAGGGGGUGCCCGGGCCCAGAAAUGGGUCUGGCAGAGUCAGGAAAGGCAGCGUUGGCACAGCUGUGGCUGUGGGGCAAACAGAAUCUUGCGCUACCCUCUGGGGGACACCACGUCCACCUCUUGACAUUCCUACCCCAAUGACUGCAAUUAUAGGGUGUCACCAAGCACCACCUAGCUCAGAGACAUCUUCCCAUCAUUGGCCACUCCCGGGCCCCACAGGCCCCCUGUUUGGCUGACUGGUCUCUUGGGCAUUGAGGGGAGGCAUCCACAAGUGCCCACCUGUGGCCAAGGGUUUGCUCAGGAGGGCUGACCCUGCAGCCAGCUGCUAGAUGCCCCAGUUUCCUUGUCCCUCUGACUUCGCCCCAGCAGCUCCUUGUCCUGCUUACCCCUCCAUGUGGAACCUCUGGCUGGGUCAGCCCCCGGCAUGGGGGCUGGGGGAGCAUACCACCUGCCUCCCAUCUUUCACCCUAUCUUUCCCCAAAGCCCCACUCUUUUUUCUUUCACAGCCGAUCCUGAGGGUCUAGCUUCCCUUUCUACAAAGGCCAGGUUGGCUUCGCUUCCAGAAGUUUCCUGGAUGAAGGGGAAAUUAUUUGCAUUUUUCUCCUGGGAGCUGCUUCAAACCCUGGAAUGGGCUGGAUCCUUCUGCAACAAAGAAAAUGAAGAGGAAAAAAAACCUGUAGUUUCCAUAUCAAACCAGAUGUUGCUGUCCUAACCCUGGUACCUGGGAAUGUGACCUUAUUCAGAAAUAUGGUCUUUGCAGAUGGUCAAGGUAAGAUGAGGUCAUUAGGGUGGGCUCUAAUCCAGUACGACUGGUGUCCCUAUAAAAAGGGAAAUUUGAACACAGAGACAGACACGCACAGAGGAAAGACUGUCUAAAAACACAGGGAGAAAAGAGGCCAUCAACAAGCCGAGGAGAGCUCUAGGCUACAGAAGCCAGGAGAGAACCUGGGACAGGCUCUCCCUCAGGGCCUCAGAAGCAACCAGUCCUCCUGACACCUUGAUCUCCAACUCCCAGCCUCCAGGACUCUGAGACAAAAAAUGUGUCAUUUAAGUAGUUUCUUACAGCAGCCCCAGGAAACCAACCAGGCACCCUACCUGAAUUUGCUUACUUGCUCUAGUCUAUCAAGUGCAAAAGUACUUAUGGAGGACGUACUGCGUGCUCUCCCUUACUGAGCUUCACGGGGAGUGCUGAAGGAGCAGUAGAAAGGAAGAGGAAGAGACCAGGACGCACCUCACCCGAGGGAGCUGAGAGAGUGGAGGGCCAGGUAUUGCUGAGCUGAGCCUUGAUGGAUAGGUACGUUCCAGAUUGGAGGGGAGAGGGGCAGUCUCCCCUGUGAGAGAACACCCUGGUAAAGGCUCAGAGGUCACUCCAGAGGUGGGGUCCAGAGCCUUCCUGUCUGUUUUUGCACUUCCCCUGAGCUUUCUCAUCCCCCCACCUUCCUCCGGCUCAUGUCUACCAUGCUGUCUCCUCCUCCUCAUCUUUCAAACCCCACGAAACUGUCACCUGCUCUGUGAGUCUUCUCGGUCUCUCCCCAUGAGAUGUUUUGGUGGAUGGUCAUAGCUGGUCAUCCAUCUUCCAGGCCUUGAUGAUGGCAAUCACCGUGCUUUAUGUGGACAUCUGCUGCCCUGUGCCUGAGCUUGGGAGAAGCAUGCACUGUGGCCAGGCACUGUGACAUGUUCACCAAAGUGACUGUUCUCUCCCGGCCCAAGGGAAGACUGAUUCCCAGACUCUUCUGCAUCCAGUCAAGGGGCCAGAGGAGGACUUCUCCCAAGCUCAGGCACAGGGCAGCAGAUGUCCACACAAAGCAUGGUGAUUGCCAUCAUCAAGGCCUGGACGAUGACCAGCUAUGACCAUCCACCAAAACAUCUGAAGGAGGGUGUAGAAUCUAGAUGGAAGAGGCUGGGGUUCCUGAAGGCUCGUGUGGAGUCCUUUAUACCCUCCGACCUGCACUGAACCGCAAUCUGGGUGGCAUGUGCAGGAGGAUGGAGGAGGUCUGCAGGCAACACGCACCUGCCUCCCGGAGACAGGCCACCCAUUCCUGGGACUGAGAUGUCAGCCAAGCCCCUUCUUCAGCAGACACUGAAGACCCACAGCACGUUGGGGAAGUAAGGGCUGGAAAAAAGCCCUCUCCUCCAUUUUAUAGGUGGGGAAAACCAAGGCGAGGAGUCUGAGGGACUUGCCCAAAUGGCCUUGUUACCAUAGGCACAGAACUGGAACCCAGGACCCCCUCCCACCUCCGGCCCGAGCUUCUUCCCUGAACUCUGGGGGGAAGGAGUGGUAUCUGCUCAUAGGACAGGUGGUGGGGUGCCAGAGGGGCCUGGCACGCUGCACCUCUGGGCCACCGCGCCCGCACUUCCUGCAGAGGGCUGGGGAGGCGGGGGAGCGGCCCGGGGUCCAGCUCUCCCGGGGGCAGCCCGCCGCCUUUCUCACACCCACAGGCCAGAGGCCAAGGGUUAGGGUUGCGGAACCGGUGCUCGGCUCCGCUCCUGCCUGAAAUACACGCUGGCUGGGGCCGGGUCAGGACCUCGGCUGGGCCCACAGGGAGGUGAAGAGGAGCGAUGGGCCAGCGUAGAAGGCGCCGAGGGCCAGGAGGGGGCGUGGCCAG